UUAUUACGAGAGUUUGAUCCUGGCUCAGGAUGAACGCUGGCGGCGUGCUUAACACAUGCAAGUCGAGCGAAGCACUUUAGUUGGAUUUCUUCGGAAUGACGGCUUUGGUGACUGAGCGGCGGACGGGUGAGUAACGCGUGGGCAACCUGCCUCACACAGGGGGAUAACAGUUAGAAAUGACUGCU
RNAcentral lists this ribosomal RNA (185 nucleotides) under Faecalicatena contorta. RNAcentral's name for it is "partial 16S ribosomal RNA". It matches the Rfam family "Bacterial small subunit ribosomal RNA", at positions 1 to 164 of the family's 1533-position model. The record is from RNAcentral. Lineage: Bacteria; Bacillati; Bacillota; Clostridia; Lachnospirales; Lachnospiraceae.